GACGAACGCUGGCGGCGUGCUUAACACAUGCAAGUCGAGCGGUAAGGCCCUUUCGGGGGUACGACGAGCGGCGAACGGGUGAGUAACACGUGGGUGACCUGCCCUCCAGCUCUGGGAGUAAGCCUGGGAAACCGGGUCUAAUACUGGAUAUGACUCCAUGACGCAUGUUGUGGGGUGGAAAGCCUUGUGCGGCUGAGGAUGGGCCCGCGGCCUAUCAGCUUGUUGGU
Molecule: ribosomal RNA, 227 nt
Filed under: uncultured bacterium
Lineage: Bacteria
Description: partial 16S ribosomal RNA
Rfam family: Bacterial small subunit ribosomal RNA
Source: RNAcentral